UUGAUAUGUGCGUACCUUGCAAGGUCCUCAUGUCUGUCAGACAGUUUUCACUUGACCUCGACUUCAUUUCAUGGAUCAGUGAACAAGGUUAAGUUUUGGUGGUCAAGUCCAUAUCUCAGAUACUAUAAGCAAUAGGGCUAGUAUAUUUGGUGUAUGGAAGGACUGUAAGGUGUACAUGUCCAACUGGCAGGUGUCAUAUGACCUUGA
Molecule: long non-coding RNA, 207 nt
Filed under: Mytilus galloprovincialis (Mediterranean mussel)
Lineage: Eukaryota; Metazoa; Mollusca; Bivalvia; Mytilida; Mytilidae
Source: RNAcentral